UAUCAAGGUAAUGCAGGAAUUUGUUGAGUUCUGUAAAUCAAAGAUAUCGAAUCAGGAUAACAAUCUAUCUCAUCACUUGAAGAAAAAUCUUAAUACAGUAAAGGAGGACCGUACUGAUUCAUAUAAUUUCAAGGAAAAGCUUAUCCUCUAUUUUGGUGAUUACU
Sorghum bicolor (sorghum) is the source of this 164-nucleotide long non-coding RNA. RefSeq lists it as uncharacterized. NCBI's taxonomy places the organism in Eukaryota, Viridiplantae, Streptophyta, Magnoliopsida, Poales, Poaceae. The transcript is spliced from 3 exons. The record is from RefSeq and is a predicted model, not a curated record.